GACGAACGCUGGCGGCGUGCUUAACACAUGCAAGUCGAACGGAAAGGCCCUGCUUUUGUGGGGUGCUCGAGUGGCGAACGGGUGAGUAACACGUGAGUAACCUGCCCUUGACUUUGGGAUAACUUCAGGAAACUGGGGCUCAUACCGGAUAGGAGCUCCUGCUGCAUGGUGUGGGAUGGAAAGUUUCGGCGGUUGGGGAUGGACUCGCUGCUUAUCCGCUUGUUGGUGGGGUAGUGGCUUACCAAGGGUUUGACGGGUAGCCGGCCUGAGAGGGUGACCGGCCACAUUGGGACUGAGAUACGGCCCAGACUCCUACGGGAGGCAGCAGGGGGGAAUAUUGCACAAUGGGCGGAAGCCUGAUGCAGCAACGCCGCGUGCGGGAUGACGGCCUUCGGGUUGUAAACCGCUUUCGCCGGUGACGAAGCGGGAGUGACGGUAACGGGUAAAGAAGCACCGGCUAACUACGUG
Molecule: ribosomal RNA, 468 nt
Filed under: uncultured bacterium
Lineage: Bacteria
Description: partial 16S ribosomal RNA
Rfam family: Bacterial small subunit ribosomal RNA
Source: RNAcentral